Molecule: non-coding RNA, 972 nt
Filed under: Kogia breviceps (pygmy sperm whale)
Lineage: Eukaryota; Metazoa; Chordata; Mammalia; Artiodactyla; Physeteridae
Description: 12S ribosomal RNA
Rfam family: Bacterial small subunit ribosomal RNA
Source: RNAcentral
CAAAGGUUUGGUCCCAGCCUUCUCAUUAGCUCUUAACAGAUUUACACAUGCAAGCAUCCACACCCCUGUGAAAAUGCCCUCCAAAUCACAAAGAUCAAAAGGAGCAGGUAUCAAGCACGCUAUACCAGCAGCUCACAACACCUUGCUUAGCCACACCCCCACGGGACACAGCAGUGAUAAAAAUUAAGCCAUGAAUGAAAGUUCGACUAAGUCAUGUUAACCAGGGUUGGUAAAUUUCGUGCCAGCCACCGCGGUCAUACGAUUGACCCAAGCUAAUAAGCAUACGGCGUAAAGAGUGUCUAGGAACCACACAAAAUAAAGCCAAGCUUUGACUAAGCUGUAAAAAGCCAUAGUCAAAACCAAGAUAGACUACGAAAGUGACUUUAAUACAGUCUGACUACACGACAGCUAAGACCCAAACUGGGAUUAGAUACCCCACUAUGCUUAGCCGUAAACCUAAAUAGACAUAGAACAAGAUUAUUCGCCAGAGUACUACUAGCAACAGCCUGAAACUCAAAGGACUUGGCGGUGCUUCAUACCCCUCUAGAGGAGCCUGUUCUGUAACCGAUAAACCCCGAUCAACCUCACCAACCCUUGCUACUCCAGUCUAUAUACCGCCAUCUUCAGCAAACCCUAAAAAGGAAUAAAAGUAAGCAUAACUACCCCACGUAAAAACGUUAGGUCAAGGUGUAACUCAUGGGGUGGGAAGAAAUGGGCUACAUUUUCUACAUUAAGAACACCCUUCAUACUCACACGAAAGUUUUCAUGAAACCUGAAAGCCAAAGGAGGAUUUAGUAGUAAAUUAAGAAUAGAGUGCUUAAUUGAAUAAGGCCAUGAAGCACGCACACACCGCCCGUCACCCUCCUCAAGUACCACAGUAAAGCUCCAAUCAAUCAACCCACGCUAAAUAAUUUCACAAGAGGAGACAAGUCGUAACAAGGUAAGCAUACUGGAAGGUGUGCUUGGACAAAA